AAGGAUUUCAAGAAUUUAAAGAAAGAAUAGAGAAAAGAAACCUUUAUAGUGCAGAAAUCGAAAAUAGAGAGAUUGAGAAGAAUUCGAUUGAGGGACAAGGAAUAAGGUAGCUCUUAAAAUGGGGAAAAAAUCUAUUUUUUAAAAAUAUUUUUUGAAUUUAGGAAAAGUCUGGUUCUCGAAAAAAAAAGAAAUUAGAGACAAGGUGGAGGAAGAACAAAAUUUCAAGAAUUUCAAGA
This 236-nucleotide unclassified non-coding RNA is filed under the name Hevea brasiliensis (rubber tree). Lineage: Eukaryota; Viridiplantae; Streptophyta; Magnoliopsida; Malpighiales; Euphorbiaceae. The record is from RNAcentral.